CCCAACAACUAUAGCCCCUUUUUCACUUUUUUUCCUUUUUUUUUUGUCUUUCUUUCAUACGAAGGAGGCAUCAUCGUCGUCGGGGUAUAAUAGACACGAGAUUGAGACGGUGGAGCUAAGAAAAUGAAGCCCUUUCGCACAUUCUUCUUGAUUCUCCUCUCGCUGCUUGUUCUCGUUGAAUCUUCAUGCAAAAACGAAGACCAGGGGCUUGUGUCAAAGGCCUUCCAAUCCGUGUCUGGAUUCAACGCUUCCAAAGGUUCCAUUUUUAAGUGUUCUAAUAAUGCUGAGAUUGAGGGGAUAAAUCUCUCAUCCAAAAACCUAAGUGGAAGCAUCUCGUGGAAGUAUCUGAGGAACAUGUCCAUGUUACAGGUUCUGGAUCUGUCUGGGAAUUUUCUUCAAGGCCAGGUUCCAAACUGGUUUUGGACAAGCUCAACCUUAGUAACAGUGAACCUUUCCAACAACAGGUUGGGAGGGAGCAUCAACCCCACUUCUCAAAACGGUUUCUUUUCAUCACUGCAAACGCUAAACCUCUCCCACAACAGGUUCACCAACCAGCUUCACCUCUCCGCUUUCUCAAACCUUAAAAGCCUCGACCUUUCGCACAACAACCUCGGAACCAUGCCUUCCGGCUUCCAAAACCUCACCCAUCUACACCACCUCGACCUCUCCAACUGCAACAUCAAAGGAAACGUAAAACCCAUUUCUUCCCUCACCUCACUCUCCUUCUUGGACCUAUCCAACAACACCUUAAACGGUAGCUUCCCCUCCGACUUCCCUCCCCUGAACGCCAUCAAGUUCCUCAACAUCUCCCGCAACAACUUCAAAGCAUCCACUACGCUAGACAGGUUCAAGAAAUUCGGGAAAUCCGCGUUCAUUCACGCCGGCCACAACUUCAACUACAACGCAUCCAAAACAGCAAAGCUAAGUUCAAGCUCAAGUUCAAGUUCACACGAAGAGCCCCACCCCAUUCACGAGGUGAAACAAAAGUCAAAACAGAAAACCAGAAUCAUGAUUGUUGCCUUGUCCUGUUCCUCGGCACUAGUGGUUGUCGUGUUGUGCACGUGCGCGGUGUGGUGUUGCAGAAGGAAGAGGCAAUUGGCGAAGAGGAACAAGUGGGCGAUAUCGAAGCCGGUCCCAGUGAGCAUGAAGAUGGAGAAAUCAGGACCUUUUGCGUUUGAAACAGAGUCGGGGACGUCGUGGGUGGCGGACCUGAAAGAACCGUCUUCCGCCGCCGUGGUGAUGUUGGAGAAGCCGCUGAUGAACCUCAGCUUCGUGGACCUCAUCGCUGCCACGUCACACUUCGGCAAAGACUCUCUCCUGGCUGAGGGAAGGUGUGGGCCCGUUUAUCGCGCUGUCUUACCCGGAGACAUCCACGUGGCAAUCAAGGUCCUCGAAAACGCCAGAGAGGUCCAUCAUCAUGACGCUGUCGCUCACUUCCUUCACCUUUCUCAACUCAAACACCCCAAUCUCUUGCCCCUCUCGGGUUACUGCAUUGCAGGGAAGGAGAAGCUGGUGUUGUACGAGUUUAUGUCAAACGGGGAUUUAGGCAGGUGGCUGCAUGAGCUACCAACGGGGGAGACUAACGUCGAGGAUUGGAGUGGUGACACGUGGGAGAUUAUUCAAAACGGUGGCGUUUCACGGGAGAAGAUGGGGUGGCCGAUACGCCACCGUAUUGCCGUCGGGGUGGCGCGUGGGUUGGCGUUUCUCCACCACGCUGGGUCGAGGCCCGUCGUGCACGGCCAUCUGGUCACGUCGAACGUGCUUCUGGGCGACGACUUCGAGCCGAGAAUCGCGGACUUCGGGUUUCGGAGGCUGGGGCGAGAGAGUGGUGGCGCCAGCUGCAGCACGGAGACGGACGUUUACUGCUUCGGGGUGGUGCUGAUGGAGCUGCUGACGGGGAGGGCCGGCACGGCGGAGACGGUGGUUUGGGUGAGGAAGGUGGUGAGGGAGGGGCACGGGGUGAGGGCGUUGGAUGAGAGGCUCACCCUCGGCGGCGGUGACUCGGAGAGUGAGAUGGUGGAGAGCCUCCGAGUCGCUUAUUUGUGUACGGCCGAGUCCCCGGGGAAGAGGCCCACCAUGCAACAGGUUUUGGGCCUUCUCAAAGAUAUUCACCCGAGUCAUGGACUCGACUGAGUUGCAUAGCACGUGCCACUCGAGUUUUGGAAUGUAAAUGUAUAUACAAAAAGUUUAUUAAAGUGAAAAAGGUGGAGAAAAAGAAGGUAGCUUAGCUUGAGAGAUUGUGUUAUGUGACGUAUCUUUUUUGUGUUUUGGAAAGAAUAUCCUCCGGUAGAUGAGAUAGAUGCACCUGUGUCUCUACACUUGCUACAGGUAACGUGUUUGUUUUAUUGAAACAAAGGGACCAUGUGCCCUUGUCAUAAUCGAAGCGUGAUGGGGUCAAUGACUCUUUCCAUUAGUAGGUAAGGUGCUGCUCUUAUUUGUCAAUAUUGUACGCUAAUUUCUCUGAGUGGGGCUGUGCCUUCCAAAAGUUGUGUGCAUGUUUAAGAGGUCCAGUGUUGAGUGAUUAAUUAAUUUUCGAUAGAAUAUAUCUCAUUAAGGGGAUCAUUUAGACAUUAUUAUGAACAUGAAAUGAGAAAAGAAUAACUUGUCCACCAACGCGGAAAAAAAGAUUUGAAAAUCAUUUCAGGUGUUUGCAUUUGCGUUUUUGCUGUCGAUUGUUGAACUAGCAUACAGCUAGCACUUGUUGUAUUGGGUAGCUUAUGUCAAACUAUUUUGACUCUUGUGACAAUGAAAUGAAAUGGCAUGUGUGUAUAAAAUCUUGGGACAAUGACUACUAAUCUAGAACUAGGGAAUUUCUGUACCAUUGAAGUUUCAUAUCCUCUUGUUGUACUUAAAAUAAAUUCUCCUGAUGACGCUUUAUAGUUUAUACAUUGAUGUGAAUUUCAUCACCGAUUUAGAUGGGUAAACUGUAGUAAUUUUGAUUAAUAUUUUAUUGGGACAGCAUAGCAUUAUUGUUGUUCUUCUUUCCCUGACAUGACGUGGAAGAAAAUUGUUCAGAAAUUUCAUUUGCUGCAGAAAAUAAUAAGGAACAUUUUGCACGUCAAUGUCCACUUUAAUUUCAGCUGCUUUUUAGUUAGCUAGCCAGCUAGAUUUACGUGUCCUUGAAUCCAUCUGUACGUGGUGUUGGAUGAUAAUUCA
Cajanus cajan (pigeon pea) is the source of this 3156-nucleotide non-coding RNA. NCBI's taxonomy places the organism in Eukaryota, Viridiplantae, Streptophyta, Magnoliopsida, Fabales, Fabaceae. The record is from RefSeq and is a predicted model, not a curated record.